Molecule: transfer RNA, 70 nt
Filed under: Loxodonta africana (African savanna elephant)
Lineage: Eukaryota; Metazoa; Chordata; Mammalia; Proboscidea; Elephantidae
Rfam family: tRNA
About the family: Transfer RNA (tRNA) molecules are approximately 80 nucleotides in length. Their secondary structure includes four short double-helical elements and three loops (D, anti-codon, and T loops). Further hydrogen bonds mediate the characteristic L-shaped molecular structure. tRNAs have two regions of fundamental functional importance: the anti-codon, which is responsible for specific mRNA codon recognition, and the 3' end, to which the tRNAs corresponding amino acid is attached (by aminoacyl-tRNA synthetases). tRNAs cope with the degeneracy of the genetic code in two manners: having more than one tRNA (with a specific anti-codon) for a particular amino acid; and 'wobble' base-pairing, i.e. permitting non-standard base-pairing at the 3rd anti-codon position.
Source: Rfam by way of RNAcentral
GCAGUGGUGGUUCAAUGGUAGAAUUCUUGCCUUCCAUGCAAGAGACCCACCUUUGAUUCUGGCAAAUACA